UUAAUUCGAUGCAACGCGAAAACCUUACCUACCCUUGACAUGGUCCCGGGAAUCCUGCAGAGAUGCGGGAGUGACCGAAAGGGAAUCGGAACACAGGUGCUGCAUGGCUGUCGUCAGCUCGUGUCGUGAGAUGUUGGGUUAAGUCCCGCAACGAGCGCAACCCUUAUCAUUAGUUGCUACGCAAGGGCACUCUAAUGAGACUGCCGGUGACAAACCGGAGGAAGUGGGGAUGACGUCAAGUCCUCAUGGCCCUUAUGGGUAGGGCUUCACACGUCAUACAAUGGUCGGUACAGAGGGUUGCCAAGCCGCGAGGUGGAGCCAAUCCCAGAAAGCCGAUCGUAGUCCGGAUUGUUCUCUGCAACUCGAGAGCAUGAAGUCGGAAUCGCUAGUAAUCGCGGAUCAGCAUGUCGCGGUGAAUACGUUCCCGGGUCUU
RNAcentral lists this ribosomal RNA (433 nucleotides) under uncultured Thiobacillus sp. RNAcentral describes it as "bacterial SSU rRNA". It matches the Rfam family "Bacterial small subunit ribosomal RNA", at positions 946 to 1382 of the family's 1533-position model. The record is from RNAcentral. Lineage: Bacteria; Pseudomonadati; Pseudomonadota; Betaproteobacteria; Nitrosomonadales; Thiobacillaceae.